RNAcentral lists this non-coding RNA (30 nucleotides) under Cricetulus griseus (Chinese hamster). Lineage: Eukaryota; Metazoa; Chordata; Mammalia; Rodentia; Cricetidae. The record is from RNAcentral.
AGAGGAACAAUUCUGAGUCUUAGACUAAUU